AUUGAACGCUGGCGGCAGGCUUAACACAUGCAAGUCGAGCGGAGUGAUGGUGCUUGCACUAUCACUUAGCGGCGGACGGGUGAGUAAUGCUUAGGAAUCUGCCUAUUAGUGGGGGACAACAUCUCGAAAGGGAUGCUAAUACCGCAUACGUCCUACGGGAGAAAGCAGGGGAUCACUUGUGACCUUGCGCUAAUAGAUGAGCCUAAGUCGGAUUAGCUAGUUGGUGGGGUAAAGGCCUACCAAGGCGACGAUCUGUAGCGGGUCUGAGAGGAUGAUCCGCCACACUGGGACUGAGACACGGCCCGGACUCCUACGGGAGGCAGCAGUGGGGAAUAUUGGACAAUGGGGGGAACCCUGAUCCAGCCAUGCCGCGUGUGUGAAGAAGGCCUUAUGGCUGUAAAGCACUUUAAGCGAGGAGGAGGCUCUUUUGGUUAAUACCCAAGAUGAGUGGACGUUACUCGCAGAAUAAGCACCGGCUAACUCUGUGCCAGCCGCCGCCGUAA
This 503-nucleotide ribosomal RNA is filed under the name uncultured bacterium. Its description in RNAcentral is "partial 16S ribosomal RNA". It matches the Rfam family "Bacterial small subunit ribosomal RNA", at positions 30 to 523 of the family's 1533-position model. The record is from RNAcentral.